AUACGGAGGGUGCAAGCGUUACUCGGAAUCACUGGGCGUAAAGGACGCGUAGGCGGGAUGCCAAGUCUGAUGUGAAAUCCUACAGCUCAACUGUAGAACUGCAUUGGAAACUGGUAACCUAGAGUAUGGGAGGGGGAGAUGGAAUUAGUGGUGUAGGGGUAAAAUCCGUAGAUAUCACUAGGAAUACCUAAAGCGAAGGCGAUCUCCUGGAACAAUACUGACGCUAAGGCGUGAAAGCGUGGGGAGCAAACGGGAUUAGAUACCCUAGUAGUCC
RNAcentral lists this ribosomal RNA (274 nucleotides) under uncultured bacterium. Its description in RNAcentral is "partial 16S ribosomal RNA". It matches the Rfam family "Bacterial small subunit ribosomal RNA", at positions 523 to 796 of the family's 1533-position model. The record is from RNAcentral.